UACGGGGGGGGCAAGCGUUGUUCGGAAUUACUGGGCGUAAAGGGCCAGUAGGCGGCCAACUAAGUCCGACGUGAAAUCCCAAGGCUUAACUUUGGAACUGCGUCGGAUACUGGAUGGCUUGAAUUCGGGAGAGGGAUGCAGAAUUCCAGGUGUAGCGGUGAAAUGCGUAGAUAUCUGGAGGAACACCGGUGGCGAAGGCGGCAUCCUGGACCAACACUGACGCUGAGUGAGCGAAAGCCAGGGGAGCAAACGGG
This 254-nucleotide ribosomal RNA is filed under the name uncultured bacterium. RNAcentral describes it as "partial 16S ribosomal RNA". It matches the Rfam family "Bacterial small subunit ribosomal RNA", at positions 524 to 776 of the family's 1533-position model. The record is from RNAcentral.